CCCGCCUCCACGCUGGGAAAGGAGGAAGGAAGCGCGAAGCGCCGGGCAGGGGCAGGGGAGAGCGCGGCCCGGCGCCCUGGGCCCGCCUCGGCGCGCAGCCGAGCCCGGCGGCUCUGCCUUUGUUCGCCUCCCUUCGUGGCACGGCCAAGGCAGGGCGCUGGGCCAGAGCCCCUCGCGCUCCCCGCACCUCGACGCCCCUGCCACCGUCGUGUGUGCUCCCCGGCUUUCCCGGCCCCGCCAGAGCGUGCGGGUUGUCCCUCCCGAGGGCACUGCCACCAGCGGGCCCUGUGCAUGAGGAGGGGGCCUGCUCCCCAUCAGCGCUGCCUUCAGAGGCCUCCGCCCCGGCGCUGCAUCUGCCGCCGCCUGGACGUGCCGUGAGUCAAAGCGUAACGUAACUGAAGUCGCUCCUGCCAGGAGCACACAUCCCCAAUACAGCAUUUCCGCUGGGACCAGGCUGUGUCCACUUUCUCCUACCUGAAUCCUCAUGGAAAUGUAUGAAGGAAAUCAGCGGCAGGAAGACAAGGCAGAAUGGAGCGUAGAAGAGGAGGAUCCUUUUGUUAUAAAAAUUUGGUUGAUUAUUCCAUUAUCAGCAAUGAUCUUGGUCGUAUAUGUGCAUUUGCAGUAUCGAACAUUGCAAAGCCAGGAGGGUUCAUCUGUGGUCAGUUUGGGGCUUCUUCAGUCUAAACAUACUCGGUUGCUAUUCCAGAAUCCUUCUGUGAUCAAAUUUCAAAUAAAUCUAAAUAUAAAAUCAGAGAAAAAGGGGACACAAAAAAAGACUGAGAGAAUUGGUCUUCUUUUGUCUAAAGAGAAGACUCCCAUGCCAGCAGUCUUUGGGCAUUUGAACAAUUGUGGGAAAGAGGAAGGCAAUAAUUUCUCUCCAUUGCCACAGUGAAGGGAACAAGCAGUAACAGACUCACACCUUAGUAAGAAAACUGCAGAACACAUCACAGAAAAAAACUAUCUAAUGGCAAAAACAGUAACUAAGGGCCUGGGAGGUGGCAAUGUCUCUAUCAUUGGAGCUUUCUUAAAAGCAAGUUCUGCAGACAUCUCUUGGGACAUAGAUUUUAUAUUUAGAUUUAUUUGAAAUUUGAUCACUAACUGGGAAAAUAGGACUGAAAAGGAAUUUGAGCCAUCAUGUGAUUUAGCCCCUGCCCCAAGAUUGGAUGCUGAUUGGCAAUAUCUAUGUCCUAAGAGGUAGUUUUUUUCUAUGAUCUGUUUCUAGACCUCCAGUUGUUCUCAGUGCCCUUCUCUGGACGCAGUUAGUCCCACGUUUCUCGAGCUGUGGAAGCCCUGAGGGAUACAGUAUUCUGGCCAACACCGUAUUCUGCAACACUACUCUGCAGGGCAGAAGGGGAACUUUUACAUGUCUUAAAGGUUUGUAGGAGGGUUCCUGCAUUUAUAUUGCAGCAUGGCACUUGCCUUUUUUUCACAGCUGCGUGACACUGUUAACACUUGUUCAGGUGUUGCACACCCUAUAGUUCCCAGGCCUCUUCUGCAGAACUGCUGCUCUGCCUGUCCUUCCUCACCCACGGUGUGUGCACCCUGGUGAGGUGCACCCACACAUCCAGAUCAUUCUGAAUUCUGAUCACCUCUCCUCACCCCAUCAACACUUUCCAGAGAAGAACUGGAGAGAAAUAAAGGCAGGACUGCUAGAAAGAGCUACUGGUGG
Molecule: long non-coding RNA, 1669 nt
Filed under: Dromaius novaehollandiae (emu)
Lineage: Eukaryota; Metazoa; Chordata; Aves; Casuariiformes; Dromaiidae
Description: lncRNA (ENSDNVG00000010771.1)
Source: RNAcentral